This 74-nucleotide non-coding RNA is filed under the name uncultured Prevotella sp. RNAcentral describes it as "L13-Bacteroidia ribosomal protein leader". It matches the Rfam family "L13-Bacteroidia ribosomal protein leader". The record is from RNAcentral. Lineage: Bacteria; Pseudomonadati; Bacteroidota; Bacteroidia; Bacteroidales; Prevotellaceae.
GGACGCCCUUAGAAUCCCCCAGUACGGGAGUGUUAAUAGUGGCGCUUUUGGCCGAGUUCCACGGUUAGUGAAUC